This 468-nucleotide ribosomal RNA is filed under the name uncultured bacterium. Its description in RNAcentral is "partial 16S ribosomal RNA". It matches the Rfam family "Bacterial small subunit ribosomal RNA", at positions 28 to 507 of the family's 1533-position model. The record is from RNAcentral.
GACGAACGCUGGCGGCGUGCUUAACACAUGCCAGUCGAACGGAAAGGCCCUGCUUUUGUGGGGUGCUCGAGUGGCGAACGGGUGAGUAACACGUGAGUAACCUGCCCUUGACUUUGGGAUAACUUCAGGAAACUGGGGCUAAUACCGGAUAGGAGCUCCUGCUGCAUGGUGGGGGUUGGAAAGUUUCGGCGGUUGGGGAUGGACUCGCGGCUUAUCAGCUUGUUGGUGGGGUAGUGGCUUACCAAGGCUUUGACGGGUAGCCGGCCUGAGAGGGUGACCGGCCACAUUGGGACUGAGAUACGGCCCAGACGCCUACGGGAGGCAGCAGUGGGGAAUAUUGCACAAUGGGCGGAAGCCUGAUGCAGCAACGCAGCGUGCGGGAUGACGGCCUUCGGGUUGUAAACCGCUUUCGCCUGUGACGAAGCGUGAGUGACGGUAAUGGGUAAAGAAGCACCGGCUAACUACGUG